CAGAGGUGGCAAGCGUUGUUCGGAAUUACUGGGCGUAAAGGGCGCGUAGGCGGCCAUCUAAGUCAGACGUGAAAUCCCCCGGCUUAACCUGGGAACUGCGUCUGAUACUGGAAGGCUCGAGUUUGGGAGAGGGAUGUGGAAUUCCAGGUGUAGCGGUGAAAUGCGUAGAUAUCUGGAGGAACACCGGUGGCGAAGGCGGCAUCCUGGACCAACACUGACGCUGAGGCGCGAAAGCUAGGGGAGCAAACGGGAUUAGAUACCCCGGUAGUCCUAGCCCUAAACGAUGAAUGCUUGGUGUGGCGGGUAUCGAUCCCUGCCGUGCCGAAGCUAACGCAUUAAGCAUUCCGCUGGGGACUACGGUCGCAAGGCUG
RNAcentral lists this ribosomal RNA (371 nucleotides) under uncultured organism. Its description in RNAcentral is "bacterial SSU rRNA". It matches the Rfam family "Bacterial small subunit ribosomal RNA", at positions 526 to 896 of the family's 1533-position model. The record is from RNAcentral.